Molecule: ribosomal RNA, 497 nt
Filed under: uncultured bacterium
Lineage: Bacteria
Description: partial 16S ribosomal RNA
Rfam family: Bacterial small subunit ribosomal RNA
Source: RNAcentral
GAUGAACGCUGGCGGCGUGCCUAAUACAUGCAAGUCGAACGCAUAGCGAAAGGUGCUUGCACCUUUCAAGUGAGUGGCGAACGGGUGAGUAACACGUGGACAACCUGCCUCGAGGCUGGGGAUAACAUUUGGAAACAGAUGCUAAUACCGAAUAAAACUUAGUGUCGCAUGACACAAAGUUAAAAGGCGCUUCGGCGUCACCUAGAGAUGGAUCCGCGGUGCAUUAGUUAGUUGGUGGGGUAAAGGCCUACCAAGACAAUGAUGCAUAGCCGAGUUGAGAGACUGAUCGGCCACAUUGGGACUGAGACACGGCCCAAACUCCUACGGGAGGCUGCAGUAGGGAAUCUUCCACAAUGGGCGAAAGCCUGAUGGAGCAACGCCGCGUGUGUGAUGAAGGCUUUCGGGUCGUAAAGCACUGUUGUAUGGGAAGAACAGCUAGAAUAGGAAAUGAUUUUAGUUUGACGGUACCAUACCAGAAAGGGACGGCUAAAUACGUG